This 329-nucleotide unclassified non-coding RNA is filed under the name soil metagenome. Its description in RNAcentral is "partial contains 5.8S ribosomal RNA, internal transcribed spacer 2, and large subunit ribosomal RNA". The stretch from base 1 to 120 matches the Rfam family "5.8S ribosomal RNA", at positions 35 to 154 of the family's 154-position model. The record is from RNAcentral.
GAUGAAGAACGUAGCGAAAUGCGAUAAGUAAUGUGAAUUGCAGAAUUCAGUGAAUCAUCGAAUCUUUGAACGCACAUUGCGCCCCUUGGUAUUCCGAGGGGCAGGCCUGUUCGAGCGUCAUUAUAACCCCUCAAGCUCAGCUUGGUGUUGGGGCCUGCUGCACUGGCAGCCCUUAAAAUCAGUGGCGGCGCCAUCUGGCUCUAAGCGUAGUAAUUCUUCUCGCUAUGGAGUCCUGGUGGAUGCUUGCCAUCAACCCCCAAUUUUUCUAUGGUUGACCUCGGAUCAGGUAGGGAUACCCGCUGAACUUAAGCAUAUCAAUAAGCGGAGGA